UCCAUAGGUGGAUAAUUAAGUCAGAGGUGAAAGUCUGCAGCUCAACUGUAGAAUUGCCUUUGAUACUGGUUAUCUUGAAUUAUUGUGAAGUAGUUAGAAUAUGUAGUGUAGCGGUGAAAUGCAUAGAUAUUACAUAGAAUACCAAUUGCGAAGGCAGAUUACUAACAAUCAAUUGACACUGAUGGACGAAAGCGUGGGGAGCGAACAGGAUUAGAUACCCUGGGUAGUCC
This 230-nucleotide ribosomal RNA is filed under the name uncultured bacterium. Its description in RNAcentral is "partial 16S ribosomal RNA". It matches the Rfam family "Bacterial small subunit ribosomal RNA", at positions 568 to 796 of the family's 1533-position model. The record is from RNAcentral.